Molecule: long non-coding RNA, 575 nt
Organism: Helianthus annuus (common sunflower)
Lineage: Eukaryota; Viridiplantae; Streptophyta; Magnoliopsida; Asterales; Asteraceae
Exons: 3
Source: RefSeq, a predicted model, not a curated record
CUUCACAACACCACACCACUCCCUUACUCUCUCCCUCUCCUCUCGGCCUACCAUAGUGCCGACACCACCACUACCUUACAUCCAUCAUCCACCCAUUCCAUAUGCUCUCAAGGGUGUAAGAAGGUUACUAAAGAAGCUUGGUGCUUGUGGAUUGUCAAGGACCUCCAUCAAUUGCUUUUAUCCACUCCAUAUUCAUCUUGUUUCUUCCCUAGCUUAGAGCUAGUAGUAGUCGUGUACGUCGGAGGAAACUUUGAGUUACAGGUGGAUUCGAAGAACGCAAAACCGUGAGUUCAUGCAGGGGCGGAUCUACGUGUAGGGAACUAAUAAGUGGAUCUGGCGGGCGUUGGAAGUUUUUAUGCUGCGUUUGAAAUAAAGAUGUCAUCCAUGGUCUUUGGGUUUGGUCGGUGUGUUUUAUUCCUGGACGAGACACGUCUCCCAACCCUUGGUGUUAUUUAAUAUCUUUCAAUGAGUCCUUAAUGAACUCAUAAACAUUUUGGUAUGAUUGUAAAACUUGAAUUUGAAGUAUACGUUUUUAAAUAAGGCAAAUUGGAUUUAAAUAAUCCUAACUCACUGUU